Molecule: ribosomal RNA, 253 nt
Filed under: uncultured bacterium
Lineage: Bacteria
Description: partial 16S ribosomal RNA
Rfam family: Bacterial small subunit ribosomal RNA
Source: RNAcentral
UACAGAGGUCCCAAGCGUUGUUCGGAUUCACUGGGCGUAGAGGGUGCGUAGGUGGCGGGGUAAGUCGGAUGUGAAAGCCCGGAGCUCAACUCCGAAAUGGCAUUGGAAACUACCUUGCUCGAGGGUUGGAGGGGGGACUGGAAUUCUCGGUGUAGCAGUGAAAUGCGUAGAUAUCGAGAGGAACACCAGUGGCGAAGGCGAGUCCCUGGACAACUCCUGACACUGAGGCACGAAAGCUAGGGGAGCAAACAGG